GAUGAACGCUGGCGGCGUGCCUAAUACAUGCAAGUUGAGCGAACAGACGAGGAGCUUGCUCCUCUGACGUUAGCGGCGGACGGGUGAGUAACACGUGGAUAACCUACCUAUAAGACUGGGAUAACUUCGGGAAACCGGAGCUAAUACCGGAUAAUAUAUUGAACCGCAUGGUUCAAUAGUGAAAGACGGUUUUGCUGUCACUUAUAGAUGGAUCCGCGCCGCAUUAGCUAGUUGGUAAGGUAACGGCUUACCAAGGCAACGAUGCGUAGCCGACCUGAGAGGGUGAUCGGCCACACUGGAACUGAGACACGGUCCAGACUCCUACGGGAGGCAGCAGUAGGGAAUCUUCCGCAAUGGGCGAAAGCCAGACGGAGCAACGCCGCGUGAGUGAUGAAGGUCUUCGGAUCGUAAAACUCUGUUAUUAGGGAAGAACAAAUGUGUAAGUAACUAUGCACGUCUUGACGGUACCUAAUCAGAAAGCCACGGCUAACUACGUG
Molecule: ribosomal RNA, 497 nt
Filed under: uncultured bacterium
Lineage: Bacteria
Description: partial 16S ribosomal RNA
Rfam family: Bacterial small subunit ribosomal RNA
Source: RNAcentral